This is a non-coding RNA of Biomphalaria pfeifferi, 874 nucleotides long. The record is from the annotation of a GenBank genome assembly. Lineage: Eukaryota; Metazoa; Mollusca; Gastropoda; Planorbidae.
AUAAAAAAGCACAUGUUUUAAUCUGCAGUUCACUCAGCUACCAACAUACAUCAUCAUCAUCUAUCAACCACAUCGCCACCAGACAUUAGCUUCAUCCUCACAAAUCCACAGCAUGCUCUACGACAUGGGCAGAGCUUUCACUCAUUCCCAGCAAGAAAUAAAUUAACAUGUUGAAUACAAAACCUUACUAUGUUGAGAGGCAGCUUGGAGCUAAUGGUGAAACAAUGUAACACUCAGAGAGCAUUGAUGCACAUACAAUAGAUGGAGACACAAAAUAUUGUCCUAACCAUUCAUUCAUCGACACAACUUAGAUGCUUUUAAAAUGUUGUGGUGGGCUAGAUUUGGCCUCAGAAAUUUCACUAAACAAAAGAAGAAAAUGGACAAAAUUGAAACAAGCAUUCAGCUUUGAAAAUAACUAACAGAUAACAUUAAGAACUCAACCUAAAUAGGAAAAGACAUCUAUGAUGAAGUCAGGCCAGUUUCUGUAACAAACUCUCUACUAUGACAGUUCUAUUGGAAUGAUUGUCAUCCUCUAUUAAAAUUAAAAAAAAACACCCAGGGUUCACCCACGAGUUGAGGACACACUUUAAGACCAAGUGUCAGCCCCAAAGUACAUAAGCUGAUAUCAGGUCAUACCAAGUACUCAUUCAGUCUUGAAAUGUGCUUUGCAUUUUGAUAAUUUGGAAAAAAAAUCUUUAAAAAUUUGAUGAAAUAACUUAAAAUUGAAUAUCAUUCUAAAGGUUGAUUCAAAUUGUAAUUAGCAAUACUUUAGUCAUAACUUUCAAUUAAAGUUGUAUUCAUACAUCAGAACAGUUCUUUUAGAACACACUAAGACAGUAUAUAUAAAUAGCAUCAUUUUAAAAGAAUAAUGCAA